Long non-coding RNA from Prunus dulcis (almond), 899 nucleotides. RefSeq lists it as uncharacterized. The transcript is spliced from 3 exons. NCBI's taxonomy places the organism in Eukaryota, Viridiplantae, Streptophyta, Magnoliopsida, Rosales, Rosaceae. The record is from RefSeq and is a predicted model, not a curated record.
UCUUCUACAAAACUGAGCUCAUCAUAUCUUGGGUUCAAUAGAGGGAAUGGUUUUGGCGUCUGAGUAUGUCUGAAGGCCAGGAUGAAGAGGAAGAUGAUGCUGAAAGACUCGAGAAUUCUAAAUUUAACAUCGAAUUAGUGAUUCACCAGACGGAACUCUUUCGAAUAGAGGGCCUGGACGACGAGCUCACUCUAGGAAGAAAGAGUAUUUAAAAAAAACUCAAGAGAUGCCACGGCUGCUCAGAUCUACGGAGGGAAACUGAGAAGAUUCGUUCAUCACCAUUUUGAUCAGCAGCGUGGCUUCCUCAUCUCCCCUUCCCAAGAUAUUUCGGGAUCAAGUCGGACUCCAGCUAUUGGCUCGAAUUAUCUUUUGAGGUUUCAGUCAGUCUCAGUCUCAUUGUCAAGGCAGCUUUUGCACAUGUCCGUAUGAGAGCAUGCAUUUUUAGCGCUCGUCAACUUUGUCCAUAUCCUGCAAAGCUGUCAACAACAAGAAAUAGAAAAGUCAGGCAAAGUAUCAAGCAUGAGGAUUCUCGUAAGUUUAUCAAACUUUAUAACUGCUAAAGGUACUCAGACGAAGGAAGAGCAACAUUGUGUUCAUCAUUAGAGGGGAAGAAACUACCUUUUCAAAGGGAAGAAAGGAUUUCUCUUCAGCUCCACUGGUUGUUUGUUCCCUCUUCUUGGUUCUUUGAAGGUUCAAAUCCUUUGGUAUUUACUAUCAUGUUCGGGGCUGAAUCACGUCCUGUUUCUUUUCUUUUUCCAACCGAAUCAGUGAUUUACCAGGCAUAUAUCCAAUUCAAGUUAUUUGCAUUGGCUUCUUGUACAGUUUAAUCAUUGAUCAACGACUUUGCAAACAGGAUGCUUAAUUGUGUGAAUAACACUUAAUUAUACAGAUUAACUUUA